Hordeum vulgare subsp. vulgare (domesticated barley) is the source of this 125-nucleotide non-coding RNA. The record is from Rfam. NCBI's taxonomy places the organism in Eukaryota, Viridiplantae, Streptophyta, Magnoliopsida, Poales, Poaceae.
AAAGUACUCCCUCCGUCCGGAAAUACUUGUCACAAGAAUGGAUGUAUCUAGAUAUGUUUUAGUUCUAGAUACAUUCAUUUUUAUCCAUUUGUGCGACAAGUAAUUCCGGACAGAGGGCGUACCAA